UUUCUUCUGCUGACAAUUUUGUUAUGUGUGCACUUAGGAGAAUACUCGUCAAAGGUUUAUCAUCCUAUUUUCGUUGAUCGGAUCGCCACACCCGGCUUUCCUGACUGACUUACCACCAACCCAAUAUCGAUGAAAAAACACGCCUACCCCUGACAAGGACGUGAACGAAGCUCCAAUGAGUCGCUCCUCGCUGGAAUGAGGGCCGGACCGUCA
This 213-nucleotide long non-coding RNA is filed under the name Glycine max (soybean). Its description in RNAcentral is "long non-coding RNA (GMAX_LNC000929)". Lineage: Eukaryota; Viridiplantae; Streptophyta; Magnoliopsida; Fabales; Fabaceae. The record is from RNAcentral.